AUCACUUGCUUAGCCUUUUGACGGUCAUCAAGAGAAGUUUCUGUUCUUAUCACUUUAAUACCUGAAACAUCCUCUAUCUGAAGAAAUAGAACAAAAUAUUGAGCGAGUUUUUGGAGGAAGAUGAAAUGGAAGCUUAUUCUUUCUGUCCACUCCAGACAUUGAUCUGGUAUUACAGCAUCACCAAGAAACACACACCCCUG
This is a small nuclear RNA of Perognathus longimembris pacificus (Pacific pocket mouse), 200 nucleotides long. RefSeq annotates it as U2 spliceosomal RNA. The record is from RefSeq and is a predicted model, not a curated record. NCBI's taxonomy places the organism in Eukaryota, Metazoa, Chordata, Mammalia, Rodentia, Heteromyidae. The transcript has a single exon.